UGCGACCUACGGGGCGCAGCAGUAGGGAAUCUUCCACAAUGGACGAAAGUCUGAUGGAGCAACGCCGCGUGAGUGAAGAAGGGUUUCGGCUCGUAAAGCUCUGUUGGUAGUGAAGAAAGAUAGAGGUAGUAACUGGCCUUUAUCUGACGGUAAUUACAUAGAAAGUCACGGCUAACUACGUGCCAGCAGCCGCGGUAAUACGUAGGUGGCAAGCGUUUUCCGGAUUUAUUGGGCGUAAAG
RNAcentral lists this ribosomal RNA (240 nucleotides) under uncultured bacterium. RNAcentral describes it as "partial 16S ribosomal RNA". It matches the Rfam family "Bacterial small subunit ribosomal RNA", at positions 333 to 565 of the family's 1533-position model. The record is from RNAcentral.